GAUCAAGCUACAAAGAGCGUACGGUGGAUGUCUUGGCGUCAAGAGGCGAUGAAAGACGUGGGAACCUGCGAUAAGCCCAGAGGAGCUGGUAACCAAGCUGCGAUCCUGGGAUUUCUGAAUGGGGCAACCCGGCCCGUAGAGGGUCAUCACACGCUGAAUGCAUAGGCGUGUGAAGCGAACCCGGGGAACUGAAACAUCUCAGUACCCGGAGGAAAGGAAAGCAACCGCGACUCCGUAAGUAGCGGCGAGCGAAAGCGGAUAAGCCAGUAGUGUCGUGAGCCGGUUGGAAAGCCGGGCCGAAGAUGGUGACAGCCCAGUAGCGACAUAGCUGGUGAGGCCUCGAGUAAGUUCGGGCUCGUGAAACCCGGACUGAACAUGGGGGGUCCACCCUCCAAGCCUAAGUACUCCUUGACGACCGAUAGUGAAUCAGUAAGGCGACUGAAUGAUGACAAGCACCCCUGUUAGGGGAGUGAAAGAGUACCUGAAACCGUGCGCUUACAAGCGGUCGGAGCCUUCGAAAGAGGGUGACGGCGUGCCUUUUGCAUAAUGAGCCGGCGAGUUGCUCUGUACGGCGAGGCUAAGGUCUGACGGACCGGAGCCGGAGCGAAAGCGAGUCUGAGAAGGGCGCUGAGUCGUACGGGGCAGACGCGAAACCUAGUGAUCUACCCAUGGGCAGGUUGAAGGGCGGGUAAAGCCGCCUGGAGGACCGAACGCACCAACGUUGAAAAGUUGGGCGAUGACCUGUGGGGAGGAGUAAAAGUCUAAUCAAACUGGGAGAUAGCUCGUUCUCUCCGAAAUAGCUUUCGGGCUAGCCUCACGCGGCAACUGUUGGGGGUAGAGCUACUGGAUGCCUUUGGGGCCCUGCCCGGGUACCCGGGGCAACCAAACUCCGAAUACCAACAGCCAAGGCGUGGGAGUCAGUCCGCGGGUGAUAAUAUCCGCGGACAAAAGGAAAACAGUCCAGAUCGCCAGCUAAGGUCCCUGAUCUCCGCUUAGUUCUUAAGGAGGUCGGAUUGCCCAGACAGCCAGGAUGUUGGCUUAGAAGCAGCCAUCAUUUAAAGAGUGCGUAAUAGCUCACUGGUCGAGGAAUCCGGCGCCGAUAAUGAUCGGGAAUAAGCGGGGAACCGAAGCUGCGGGCUCUGAAAAGAGCGGUAGGAGAGCGUUCCUGUCGGCUGUGAAGCGGUCCCGGAAGGGUCCGUGGAGCGUCAGGAAGUGAAUAUGCCGGCUUGAGUAACGAUAAAGCGGGUGAAAAUCCCGCUCGCCGAAAGCCCAAGGUUUCCUGGGGAAGGUAAAUCCGCCCAGGGUUAGCCGGAUCCUAAGGCGAGGCUGAAAAGCGUAGUCGAUGGACAGCAGGUUAAUAUUCCUGCGCCUCUGUGGAGAUCGAUCCGGAGUGCGAAUCUGCUUGGUCAGCAGGGCGGUUAGAAGCGCCCAGGCCCCUCGAGGCCGACGCUGGCGACGCGGGUUCCGAGAAAAGCUCCGGUGGCGAAGCAGAGUCCGUACCAAAACCGACACAGGUGGGCGAGGCGAAUAGCCUCAGGCGCUCGAGAGAAUGGUCGUGAAGGAACUAGGCAAAUUGACCCCGUAAGUUCGCAAGAAGGGGGCCCUACUCCCGCAAGGGAAAGGGCGCAGAGAAAAGGCUCUAGCGACUGUUUAUCAAAAACACAGCUCUGUGCUAACUCGUAAGAGGAUGUAUACAGAGUGACGCUUGCCCGGUGCCGGAAUGUCACGGAAGCGGGUCAGCUUCGGCGAAGCUCGCAACCUAAGCACCGGUAAACGGCGGCCGUAACUAUGACGGUCCUAAGGUAGCGAAGUUCCUUGUCGGGUAAGUUCCGACGCGCAUGAAUAGCGUAACGACUGGAGCACUGUCUCCACGACCAACUCGGUGAAAUAGUAGUGGCGGUGAGGAUGCCGCCUACCCGCAGCAAGACGGAAAGACCCCGUGGACCUUUACUGUAGGCUUCCAUUGGCCACGAGCAUGCACUGCGUAGCAUAGGUGGGAGGCUUUGAAGCCCGGGUUCCGGCCCGGGUGGAGCCACAGGUGAAAUACCACCCUGUACACGUUUGCGGCCUAACCUCGACUCCCGUGAAACCGGGCGAGGGACAUUGGGUGCUGGGCAGUUUGGCUGGGGCGGUCUCCUCCCAAAGAGUAACGGAGGAGCGCAAUGGUCGGCUCAGCGCGGAUGGAAACCGCGUGUCGAGUGCAAAGGCACAAGCCGGCUUUACUGCGAGACCGACGGGUCGAGCAGUUACGAAAGUAGGCCUUAGUGAUCCUGCGAUCCCGUGUGGAAGGGUCGUAGCUCAUCGGAUAAAAGGUACCCCGGGGAUAACAGGCUUAUCGCUCCCGAGCGUCCAUAGCGGCGGAGCGGUUUGGCACCUCGAUGUCGGCUCAUCACAUCCUGGGGCUGUAGGCGGUCCCAAGGGUUCGGCUGUUCGCCGAUUAAAGUGGUACGCGAGCUGGGUUCAGACCGGCGUGAGCCAGGUCGGUCCCUAUCUGCUGUGGGCGUUGCAAGCUUGAGAGGAGUUCACCCUAGUACGAGAGGACUGGGUGGGACCCACCCCUGGUGAUCCUGUUGGCGCGCUCGCGCCACCGCAGGGUAGCUAAGUGGGGCAGGGAUAACCGCUGAAGGCAUCUAAGCGGGAAGCCCCCCUCGAGAUGAGGCUUGCUGGUUCUUCGGAACGAAAGACCCCUGGAAGACCACCAGGUUGAUAGGCCGCAUGUGUAAGGACAGAAAUGUUUUCAGCAGAGCGGUACUAACGGUCAAAGGCUUGAUCGC
Molecule: ribosomal RNA, 2774 nt
Filed under: Phycisphaeraceae bacterium
Lineage: Bacteria; Pseudomonadati; Planctomycetota; Phycisphaerae; Phycisphaerales; Phycisphaeraceae
Description: 23S ribosomal RNA
Rfam family: Bacterial large subunit ribosomal RNA
Source: RNAcentral